GACGAACGCUGGCGGCGUGCUUAACACAUGCAAGUCGAACGAUGACGACCGAGCUUGCUCGGUCUGAUUAGUGGCGAACGGGUGAGUAACACGUGAGCAACCUGCCCUUCACUCUGGGAUAACCUCGGGAAAUCGGGGCUAAUACCGGAUAUGAGCUCCUGUCGCAUGGCGGGUGUUGGAAAGUUUUUCGGUGAAGGAUGGGCUCGCGGCCUAUCAGUUUGUUGGUGAGGUAGUGGCUCACCAAGGCGAUGACGGGUAGCCGGCCUGAGAGGGCGACCGGCCACACUGGGACUGAGACACGGCCCAGACUCCUACGGGAGGCAGCAGUGGGGAAUAUUGCACAAUGGGCGAAAGCCUGAUGCAGCGACGCCGCGUGAGGGAUGACGGCCUUCGGGUUGUAAACCUCUUUCAGCAGGGAGGAAGCGAAAGUGACGGUACCUGCAGAAGAAGCGCCGGCUAACUACGUG
This 467-nucleotide ribosomal RNA is filed under the name uncultured bacterium. Its description in RNAcentral is "partial 16S ribosomal RNA". It matches the Rfam family "Bacterial small subunit ribosomal RNA", at positions 28 to 507 of the family's 1533-position model. The record is from RNAcentral.